Molecule: unclassified non-coding RNA, 237 nt
Filed under: Hevea brasiliensis (rubber tree)
Lineage: Eukaryota; Viridiplantae; Streptophyta; Magnoliopsida; Malpighiales; Euphorbiaceae
Source: RNAcentral
UGAUAACUUUUCGAAUUAUUAGAUUCUAACAAAGUAUACUAAAAUGCUACAUAAAACCAAUGGAUAUGCAUUGGUGCAAUAGAAAAGAUUUAUUUGAAAUAACAAAAUGAACCCACAUUCUCCUCUUCUUUUGUUUCACCAACUUGUGUUCUCUAUUGUCAUCUGCCUUUGACAGUUGUUAGUCUUGAUACUGGAACCCCACUAACAAACUUGGUUGCAACAUACUAAGAAGAAGAA